UACCCAUCCCGAACACGACCGUUAAGCCUUCCAGCGCCGAUGGUACUUGGACCGAAGGGUCCCGGGAGAGUAGGACGCCGCCAAGC
RNAcentral lists this ribosomal RNA (86 nucleotides) under Paenibacillus lemnae. Lineage: Bacteria; Bacillati; Bacillota; Bacilli; Caryophanales; Paenibacillaceae. The record is from RNAcentral.